RNAcentral lists this ribosomal RNA (1020 nucleotides) under Microlunatus sp. MSFC 3-M5-R-6. RNAcentral's name for it is "bacterial SSU rRNA". It matches the Rfam family "Bacterial small subunit ribosomal RNA", at positions 60 to 1097 of the family's 1533-position model. The record is from RNAcentral. Lineage: Bacteria; Bacillati; Actinomycetota; Actinomycetes; Propionibacteriales; Propionibacteriaceae.
AGUCGAACGGUAAGGCUCUUCGGAGUACACGAGUGGCGAACGGGUGAGUAACACGUGAGCAACCUACCCUUGACACUGGAAUAAGCGCUCGAAAGGGCGUCUAAUACCGGAUAUUACUUCUUCAGACAUCUGAUGAAGUGGAAAGCUCCGGCGGUCAAGGAUGGGCUCGCGGCCUAUCAGCUAGUUGGUGAGGUAACGGCUCACCAAGGCUUCGACGGGUAGCCGGCCUGAGAGGGCGACCGGCCACACUGGGACUGAGAUACGGCCCAGACUCCUACGGGAGGCAGCAGUGGGGAAUAUUGCACAAUGGGCGCAAGCCUGAUGCAGCAACGCCGCGUGCGGGAUGACGGCCUUCGGGUUGUAAACCGCUUUCAGCACCGACGAAGCGAAAGUGACGGUAGGUGCAGAAGAAGGACCGGCCAACUACGUGCCAGCAGCCGCGGUGAUACGUAGGGUCCGAGCGUUGUCCGGAAUUAUUGGGCGUAAAGAGCUCGUAGGCGGUUUGUCGCGUCGGAAGUGAAAACUCAGGGCUUAACUCUGAGCCUGCUUCCGAUACGGGCAGACUAGAGGAAGUUAGGGGAGAACGGAAUUCCUGGUGGAGCGGUGGAAUGCGCAGAUAUCAGGAGGAACACCGGUGGCGAAGGCGGUUCUCUGGGACUUUCCUGACGCUGAGGAGCGAAAGCGUGGGGAGCAAACAGGCUUAGAUACCCUGGUAGUCCACGCCGUAAACGGUGGGCACUAGGUGUGGGUCACAUUCCACGUGAUCCGUGCCGUAGCUAACGCAUUAAGUGCCCCCGCCUGGGGAGUACGGCCGCAACGCUAAAACUCAAAGGAAUUGACGGGGGCCCGCACAAGCGGCGGAGCAUGCGGAUUAAUUCUAUGCAACGCGGAGAACCUUACCUGGGUUUGACAUAUACCGGAAACAUCUCGAGACAGUGCCCCGCACGGUCGGUAUACAGGUGGUGCAUGGCUGUCGUCAGCUCGUGUCGUGAGAUGUUGGGUGUAAGUCCCGCAACGAGC